AAGGAAGGACAGAAAACAGUAAGCACUGCUAAUUCUUACGCUCCAAGG
RNAcentral lists this transfer RNA (48 nucleotides) under Acrossocheilus beijiangensis. Its description in RNAcentral is "partial tRNA-Ser". The record is from RNAcentral. RNAcentral also lists the same sequence under 1 other name. Lineage: Eukaryota; Metazoa; Chordata; Actinopteri; Cypriniformes; Cyprinidae.